RNAcentral lists this ribosomal RNA (504 nucleotides) under uncultured bacterium. Its description in RNAcentral is "bacterial SSU rRNA". It matches the Rfam family "Bacterial small subunit ribosomal RNA", at positions 28 to 537 of the family's 1533-position model. The record is from RNAcentral.
GACGAACGCUGGCGGCGUGCCUAACACAUGCAAGUCGAGCGGGGUUGAAGCGAGGGGUAACUCGGACUUCUACCUAGCGGCGGACGGGUGAGUAACGCGUGGGCAACCUGCCUCAAGGUUUGGGAUAACAGCUCGAAAGGGCUGCUAAUACCGGAUAUGCCUGUGGCCUCGCAUGGGGGCUAUGAGCAAAGGGGAAACCCGCCUUGAGAUGGGCCCGCGUCCCAUCAGCUAGUUGGUGAGGUGAAGGCUCACCAAGGCGACGACGGGUAGCCGGCCUGAGAGGGUGACCGGCCACACUGGGACUGAGACACGGCCCAGACUCCUACGGGGGGCAGCAGUGGGGGAUCUUGCACAAUGGGCGAAAGCCUGAUGCAGCGACGCCGCGUGAGCGAAGAAGGCCUUCGGUUGUAAGCUCUGUCUGGAGGGACGAAGAAAUGACGGUACCGUCCGGAGGAAGACCACGGCGUAACUACGUAGCGAGCAGCCGCGGUAAACUCGUCUCUA